This 636-nucleotide long non-coding RNA is filed under the name Vulpes vulpes (red fox). RNAcentral describes it as "lncRNA (ENSVVUG00000014029.1)". The record is from RNAcentral. Lineage: Eukaryota; Metazoa; Chordata; Mammalia; Carnivora; Canidae.
CACUUAUUCUUACUCUGAGCAUAUUUGAAGCUCAGAGAGGACAGUUCAGCUUACCAUCAUACUUUGUGUCAUUUGGACAGGAGAGCUGCUGCAUCUCAAAAUGGAGAAAUGAGGGGAGGAAUGAGUUGGCUGAGGUGGCCAAAGACUCUCCUAGGAGGAAGUUCUGCCAACUACCAUGGAAAAAAUAGUCUUGUUGGAUCUUGAUUACAUUUUCCGAUCCCUAUAAGCUUAUCCAUCACUAACUCCCAGAGCUUUUCUAAGUGGGCUUAACUCUUCUCACCUCUGAGCACCCAGGAGGAACUUGUUCUCAAACUCCAAAGAAAAGCAUUUGGGAAAAUGGAUGGGAGCCAUUGAUGAAGCCCAAGAGCUCCUUGAUAUUUGAAUCUUUUUAUGGAAAGCUGUGUUUGGAGGCCCAAGUGAGAGCGACUCAUCAACACUCAUUCACAAAUUCUGAGAUUCAAAAAAUAACGUGAUUUCAAUAAUUGUGACUUUUCCUCGGUACCUUCCCUGAUUUUCAGAUAUGAGAAGAAAAAGCAAAUAAUGAAAAUACCACUGUAGAACUCUUAGGGUAUUUUGGGGUGAGUAUCCGGGGUGGGGGAAGGUGGGGGAAGAAUGGUAAAAUCAGUCUUUGUGACA